RNAcentral lists this ribosomal RNA (722 nucleotides) under Nocardia sp. GSN02. RNAcentral describes it as "bacterial SSU rRNA". It matches the Rfam family "Bacterial small subunit ribosomal RNA", at positions 116 to 851 of the family's 1533-position model. The record is from RNAcentral. Lineage: Bacteria; Bacillati; Actinomycetota; Actinomycetes; Mycobacteriales; Nocardiaceae.
CGUGGGUGAUCUGCCUCGCACUUCGGGAUAAGCCUGGGAAACUGGRUCUAAUACCGGAUAUGACCUUUCAGUGCAUGCUGUUGGGUGGAAAGAUUUAUCGGUGCGAGAUGGGCCCGCGGCCUAUCAGCUUGUUGGCGGGGUAACGGCCCACCAAGGCGACGACGGGUAGCCGACCUGAGAGGGUGACCGGCCACACUGGGACUGAGACACGGCCCAGACUCCUACGGGAGGCAGCAGUGGGGAAUAUUGCACAAUGGGCGAAAGCCUGAUGCAGCGACGCCGCGUGAGGGAUGACGGCCUUCGGGUUGUAAACCUCUUUCGACAGGGACGAAGCGCAAGUGACGGUACCUGUAGAAGAGCACCGGCCAACUACGUGCCAGCAGCCGCGGUAAUACGUAGGGUGCGAGCGUUGUCCGGAAUUACUGGGCGUAAAGAGCUUGUAGGCGGUUUGUCGCGUCGUCCGUGAAAACUUGGGGCUCAACCCCAAGCUUGCGGGCGAUACGGGCAGACUUGAGUACUUCAGGGGAGACUGGAAUUCCUGGUGUAGCGGUGAAAUGCGCAGAUAUCAGGAGGAACACCGGUGGCGAAGGCGGGUCUCUGGGAAGUAACUGACGCUGAGAAGCGAAAGCGUGGGUAGCGAACAGGAUUAGAUACCCUGGUAGUCCACGCCGUAAACGGUGGGUACUAGGUGUGGGUUUCCUUCCACGGGAUCCGUGCCGUAG